Molecule: ribosomal RNA, 497 nt
Filed under: uncultured bacterium
Lineage: Bacteria
Description: partial 16S ribosomal RNA
Rfam family: Bacterial small subunit ribosomal RNA
Source: RNAcentral
GAUGAACGCUGGCGGCGUGCCUAAUACAUGCAAGUCGAGCGAACAGACGAGGAGCUUGCUCCUCUGACGUUAGCGGCGGACGGGUGAGUAACACGUGGAUAACCUACCUAUAAGACUGGGAUAACUUCGGGAAACCGGAGCUAAUACCGGAUAAUAUAUUGAACCGCAUGGUUCAAUAGUGAAAGACGGUUUUGUUGUCAUUUAUAGAUGGAUCCGCGCCGCAUUAGCUAGUUGGUAAGGUAACGGCUUACCAAGGCAACGAUGCGUAGCCGACCUGAGAGGGUGAUCGGCCACACUGGAACUGAGACACGGUCCAGACUCCUACGGGAGGCAGCAGUAGGGAAUCUUCCGCAAAGGGCGAAAGCCUGACGGAGCAACGCCGCGUGAGUGAUGAAGGUCUUCGGAUCGUAAAACUCUGUUAUUAGGGAAGAACAAAUGUGCAAGUAACUAUGCACGUCUUGACGGUACCUAAUCAGAAAGCCACGGCUAACUACGUG